AACGAACGCUGGCGGCAGGCUUAACACAUGCAAGUCGAACGCCCCGCAAGGGGAGUGGCAGACGGGUGAGUAACGCGUGGGAACGUGCCCUUCGCUUCGGAAUAGUCCCGGGAAACUGGGUUUAAUACCGGAUACGCCGUAUUGGGAAAGAUUUAUCGGCGAAGGAUCGGCCCGCGUUGGAUUAGCUAGUUGGCGGUGUAAUGGACCACCAAGGCGACGAUCCAUAGCUGGUCUGAGAGGAUGAUCAGCCACACUGGGACUGAGACACGGCCCAGACUCCUACGGGAGGCAGCAGUGGGGAAUCUUGGACAAUGGGCGCAAGCCUGAUCCAGCCAUGCCGCGUGAGUGAAGAAGGCCUUAGGGUUGUAAAACUCUUUCGCCGGAGAAGAUAAUGACGGUAUCCGGAGAAGAAGCCCCGGCUAACUUCGUGCCAGCAGCCGCCGUAA
Molecule: ribosomal RNA, 446 nt
Filed under: uncultured bacterium
Lineage: Bacteria
Description: partial 16S ribosomal RNA
Rfam family: Bacterial small subunit ribosomal RNA
Source: RNAcentral